GGGGGCUUAGUUAAAUGGCAUAAUUGAUGGCUCCAAACCAUCAGUUGGGGGUUCGAUUCCCUCAGCCCCCGCCA
RNAcentral lists this transfer RNA (74 nucleotides) under Candidatus Jacksonbacteria bacterium. RNAcentral describes it as "tRNA-Trp". It matches the Rfam family "tRNA". Rfam says of the family: Transfer RNA (tRNA) molecules are approximately 80 nucleotides in length. Their secondary structure includes four short double-helical elements and three loops (D, anti-codon, and T loops). Lineage: Bacteria; Candidatus Jacksoniibacteriota. The record is from RNAcentral.